AUUGAACGCUGGCGGCAGGCCUAACACAUGCAAGUCGAACGAGUGGCGGACGGGUGAUUAACACGUGGGAACCUACCCAUCAGAGGGGGAUAACACUUGGAAACAGGUGCUAAUACCGCAUACUGGUGGAUGGACCCGCGGUGCAUUAGCUAGUUGGUGAGGUAACGGCUCACCAAGGCCACGAUGCAUAGCCGACCUGAGAGGAUGAUCAGCCACACUGGGACUGAGACACGGACCAGACUCCUACGGGAGGCAGCAGUGGGGAAUAUUGCACAAUGGGCGCAAGCCUGAUGCAGCCAUGCCGCGUGUAUGAAGAAGGCCUUCGGGUUGUAAAGUACUUUCAGUCGGGAGGCGUUACCGACAGAAGAAGCACCGGCUAACUCCGUGCCAGCCGCCGCGGUAAUAC
Molecule: ribosomal RNA, 406 nt
Filed under: uncultured bacterium
Lineage: Bacteria
Description: partial 16S ribosomal RNA
Rfam family: Bacterial small subunit ribosomal RNA
Source: RNAcentral